GGUGAACCUGCGGAAGGAUCAUAGUAAUCGUCUUUGACGUUCGCUUAUUCCGUUGUCCUCGGGACGUUAAGCUGCUCUGGUCGAGGAUAAAUGACCCCUCUGACCGAGGUAAAACCCGUCGCUCUGUGUUACCUCUGUCCGAGGCACACGUUAAAGAUCGUUCCGCGUUGUGAGUCUAACACCAGUUGUAUAAACUUUUUACAACCGGUAGCGAUGGAUCCCUUGGCACGUCAUUCGAUGAAGACCGUUGCAAAUUGCGAUAAAGUGAUGUGAUGCGCAAGUCCACCACUUAUACGUGAAUCAUCGAGUUGUUGAACGCAUUGCACCGCGCCCUAAUCCGGCUGCGGUAUGCCCCUUUGAGCGUCAUUGUAUUCCUUCGGGAGUCCUUUUUCCAAAGGACCCGAGUUCGGAGUCCUCGGUCCUCUGGAUCGUGUUCUCUUAGAUGCAUCGCACCGAUCGCCUGAUGGGUCUCUAAUGCCUAAGCGUGGAGUUCCUUCAGAGUCCGAGACGUGCUUGACCGGGUGUUGAGCUCGCGUCACCAAGUCUGCCUCACAAGCAGUACUACAACGCAUGACCUCAUUGGGGUAGGACAACCCGCUAGACUUAAGCAUAUUAAUCAGCGGAGGAAAAGAAACUAACCAGGAUUCCC
RNAcentral lists this ribosomal RNA (649 nucleotides) under Tulasnella sp. LHB-Cc-12. RNAcentral's name for it is "eukaryotic LSU rRNA". The stretch from base 203 to 366 matches the Rfam family "5.8S ribosomal RNA". Lineage: Eukaryota; Fungi; Basidiomycota; Agaricomycetes; Cantharellales; Tulasnellaceae. The record is from RNAcentral.